Molecule: long non-coding RNA, 1683 nt
Filed under: Salmo salar (Atlantic salmon)
Lineage: Eukaryota; Metazoa; Chordata; Actinopteri; Salmoniformes; Salmonidae
Description: lncRNA (ENSSSAG00000117075.1)
Source: RNAcentral
CCACAGGGAGAGUGUGUGUGGGCGGGCGUGCAUGCGCACACGUGUGUGUGUGUAUGUGUGUGCAAUUGCAUGAGUUUGCUGAUGUUUCUGUGCUUGCGUGUCCCCUGCACAGUGGUUUGUACUGUCUGUAUCUGUGAGUACAUUACCACUUAUACAUGUGUUGGAGUCUAUUUACUUAUGUGUUUAUGAGGAUAUCAAUGACAGACAAAGGCCAAACCCAAUCCCCUCUGAUGCAGGCCAGGCCAGGCCAGGCUAGCUUGGGCUAGUUUGUCUCCAGGGCCUGCCUGUCUGUUUGUCUGCCUGUCUGUCUGUCUGUCUGUCUGCCUGUCUGUCUGUUUGUCUGCCUGUCUGUCUGUCUGCCUAUUAUCCCCACAGGCACUGUUCACUCCUCUGACAUCUGCUUGAUGGCAUGGCCAUUUCAUCACCCUACUGAGGUAGAGGGAAUAACCAGGACAACAGAGAGGUUGGGGAGAACAACAGGGAAUAACCAGGACAACAGAGGUUGGGGAGAACAACAGGGAAUAACCAGGACAACAGAGGUUGGGGAAAACAACAGGGAAUAACCAGGACAACAGAGGUUGGGGAGAACAACAGGGAAUAACCAGGACAACAGAGGUUGGGGAAAACAACAGGGAAUAACCAGGACAACAGAGGUUGUGGAGAACAACAGGGAAUAACCAGGACAACAGAGGUUGUUGAGAACAACAGGGAAUAACCAGGACAACAGAGGUUGGGGAGAACAACAGGGAAUAACCAGGACAACAGAGGUUGGGGAGAACAACAGGGAAUAACCAGGACAACAGAGGUUGUGGAGAACAACAGGGAAUAACCAGGACAACAGAGAUUGGGUAGAAAAACCGGGAAUAAAGAAAAGGGGGGUAAUUAUGCUUCAGCGUCGCCACGUAGCUUCAGCCACUAGCUCGAGUCUUGUGGGAUGGACGUGUGUUACACCAGGCUGUUUGAAUAGCUGAGAACGAUCCAAUGUAGGAGAGGAGAAAAGAGGAAUCUAGGAUAGAGGAAGAAAAGCGGAGGUCCUAAUGUUUAAAACCACCAAAACCUGACCAGAGGACAGGUCUACAGCUAACAUUGUAGUUAAACCACCAGGAGGACCAGAGGGCAGGCCUACAGCUAACAUUGUAGUUAAACCACCAGGAGGACCAGAGGACAGGCCUACAGCUAACAUUGUAGUUAAACCACCAGGAGGACCAGAGGACAGGCCUACAGCUAGCAUUGUAGUUGAACCACCAGGAGGACCCGAGGACAGGCCUACAGCUAACAUUGUAGUUAAACCACCAGGAGGACCAGAGGGCUGGUCUACAGCUAACAUUGUAGUUAUAACAGCAGGAGGACCAGAGGACAGGCCUACAGCUAACAUUGUAGUUAAACCACCAGGAGGACCAGAGGGCUGGCCUACAGCUAACAUUGUAGUUAAACCACCAGGAGGACCAGAGGACAGGCCUACAGCUAACAUUGUAGUUAAACCACCAGGAGGACCAGAGGGCUGGCCUACAGCUAACAUUGUAGUUAUAACAGCAGGAGGACCAGAGGACAGGCCUACAGCUAACAUUGUAGUUAUAACAGCAGGAGGACCAGAGGGCUGGCCUACAGCUAACAUUGUAGUUGAACCACCAGGAGGACCAGAGGGCUGGCCUACAGCUAACAUUGUAGUUAUAACAGCAGGAG